This 820-nucleotide long non-coding RNA is filed under the name Homo sapiens (human). Its description in RNAcentral is "uncharacterized LOC101927950 (LOC101927950)". The record is from RNAcentral. Lineage: Eukaryota; Metazoa; Chordata; Mammalia; Primates; Hominidae.
UUAAUUCCUAGCAUGGAUCUUAAGUCACUCUGGGAUCUAAGAGAUGUUUCGAUCAUUCUGGGAUUUAUGCUUCUUGAAAAGGCUCAGGACAAAUGGCAGUGAAGGCUACGUGGAUACACAGUUUGUGGAGAUGGGGUCUUGCUCUAUCACCCAGGCUGUAGUGCAAUAGUGUGAGCAUAGCUCACUGCGGCCUCGAACUCUUCCAGGGCUCAAACGAUCCUCACACCUUAGCCUCCCCAAUGGCCAGGACUACAGACCUACCAUUUAUUGUCGGUGUACACAGACUUCUGAAGGAGCUGAGCAGAGGAAUGGUAAAGAGAACCUCUCUGACGAGUCUGUGAGACUACAGCUCCGAGAAAUGCUUCCUGUUUUGAAGAUGGAGCUGCAUCGUGACCUCCGCACACCUGCCUAGUCAGCAUACCCCAGCAUUCUUGCAGCUGUGACCCAUGUGCUUAGCAGCACUGUGGAGUGCCAGCCUCAGCCACCCCUGGAGAGAGCCCGCAGAACCAUGGCCCCUAUUCACCUGCCAGCGGACCAUGCUGCUUGUCAGCGGAGGCUCCAGAUGUCAACUCUCCAGGGUGAGCCAUCAGUCAACAUCCUGGCCAUCGGGGUUUUUGGGUGAGCUUCCUCAGGACAAUGGUCUCAUGUGACCGCCCAGCUCUACUUAAACACAUUUAGUCCCUUCACAAAUAGCCUGUCCUUAGAAAGCUCUUUGUGAGGAGCUGAAAUCAACCUUUGAUAACUUUCUUCCCACUGGUCUUUGUUUUGCCCUGAAGCAACAAGUAUACUCCCUUUUCUCUUUAAAAAAAAAAAAAAAAAA